AUUGAACGCUGGCGGAAUGCUUUACACAUGCAAGUCGAACGGCAGCACGGGGGCAACCCUGGUGGCGAGUGGCGAACGGGUGAGUAAUACAUCGGAACGUGCCCGGUCGUGGGGGAUAAUGUAGCGAAAGUUACGCUAAUACCGCAUACGAUCUGAGGAUGAAAGCGGGGGACCUUCGGGCCUCGCGCGAUCGGAGCGGCCGAUGUCAGAUUAGGUAGUUGGUGGGGUAAAGGCCUACCAAGCCGACGAUCUGUAGCUGGUCUGAGAGGACGACCAGCCACACUGGGACUGAGACACGGCCCAGACUCCUACGGGAGGCAGCAGUGGGGAAUUUUGGACAAUGGGCGCAAGCCUGAUCCAGCCAUUCCGCGUGCAGGACGAAGGCCUUCGGGUUGUAAACUGCUUUUGUAUGGAACGAAAAGGCUCUGGCUAAUACCUGGGGCUCAUGACGGUACCGUAAGAAUAAGCACCGGCUAACUACGUG
Molecule: ribosomal RNA, 484 nt
Filed under: uncultured bacterium
Lineage: Bacteria
Description: partial 16S ribosomal RNA
Rfam family: Bacterial small subunit ribosomal RNA
Source: RNAcentral